CAGUGUCCAGUGUUUCUACAGUUCUAGAUAUCAGAAUAAACUCAAACAGUGGUGCAGAUAUAAAGAUCAGAGCUGUUACACAGUGGGGAGGACUGACACAUCCCAGAAUCCAUCAGUCCAGAUCAGUGAUGAUGGGAGAAGAUCCUUCACUGUGCUGAUGACUGGACUGAGACUCAGUGAUUCUGGAUGGUUCUUCUGUUCUGUUGGAGAUCAACAGGCUUCUGUUCAACUCACGGUCACUGUUCCUGAUGUCUCUCUUGAAGAUCCACAUGUUCCUGUUACUGUUACUAAACCAAUUCCAGCAGUUAUGACCACAGAAGCAUUUGAGAGAAACAGGUUAGUAACUAAUUAAAUUUAAGAUUUAUAUUUUCUGUCAUGGGCUUGAUUAGAUGCUUAGCUAUCUGUAUAACAGUUCAAUUUAUUGUCUUUCUUUUUUUUUGUGGUGUUGUCUUUGCUUCUUUUUUUGUCUUUUUAUUUUGGUUAAUUUCUCUCUGUUGUUUCUUAGCAGAGAUGCAGCUCUCUCAUCUACAACACCAAUUAUCAACGAUACUACAGUGAACAGUCAAGAGCAGCAGAAUGAGUACUGAAAUAGCAUGUUCAUUGCUUAAAUUAAAACAUGCAAAAAUAAUAGAACUUUUAAAUGAACCAUACAGAAAUUAUUCUAUAAAUGAAUUAUGCUACUGUAACUUUAUUAAGGAUGGAAUAUUCUCCAUCCAGUUGGAGGAUGAGGAUGAACUUCAGCCGAUUUUAGAACAUCCUCAUUCUAAACGUCUCUUUUAACACCGGGUAAAAGAAUGUUUGAUACUUGUAAUUUAAAAGCAAGGUUACCUCUUUUACCCACGUUAAAAAGCGUUUGCGAUGUUAAAGAGAUAGUUCACCCAAAAAUGAAAAUUAUCAAGCCAUCCUAGGUGUUUAUGACGCAAGCUUCAAUAGUGAAUACACAGUAACAGUUUAAUAUUUUUGUUAUUUCAUUAUUUAUUGAAAUAUUAUAUUUAAUUAGACAUUUUUACAUAUAUUAAUACAAUUAUUAUUUUUAUUAAUAGUAAAUGGCGGCCUAACAACCCAGUAGCUACAUCAAGUGAGGCCAUUGUCCUCAUUUGCAUAUGCUGUAGCCUAUAUUGAUUUUAGUUUUCACAGAACUGCAAUGUGGCAGCCGUGAAAUGACUACAACAAUUAGUUGUUAAGAUCACAAUCUCGUUUGAACAGCUCAAAGCAAUUCAGAUAUUUAAUUUAGAAAUGCAGUGCAGCAAAUGAUGUAAAUCAAUAGUACAAAGAAAACAUUUCCAAUAAACCAGUGCAUAUAGACCUAUAAUAUCAGGAUGCGCAUUACCAGAACAUUUAUGCAAACAUAUACCAUGUGUAUUUCAUCCAAUCAGUGACACUGACACCGCAAAUAUGCAAAUAAGGACAUUAACCCAGGGUUUAGGAAUGUACAGUGUUAAACAGCAGUUUACAAAUAUCCAUUUAAUUGUUAACCGCAGGUAAAUUAUGAGCAGUGUGAAACGUGAAGGAAAAUAAUUCAGGAUUCUGUUUAUCUGGUGUUUGGUCCUGGGUUAAAGGUAGGGUUGAUGCGUACAAAAGGUGUACCACUGAUCAUGUCCCACAACACAAUCUGUGUUAACAAAUCGUAAACUCACGUGCAGUACACUGUAACGAUGUUUCAGUAUCCACUGUUCAUCUGACUCAUAACCAUGUGAGAGCAUUUCAAAGUACACUUCUCUAAAAAAAAGUAUAAUUCGUCUUGAUACACACACAAGGUGUGCUGCUAAUCAUUUCAUUCCAUUUUAAUACAUCAUAAACUCACGUGCAAUAUUUCGUACCAACCAUUCAGCAACUACUGCUCGUCCAUCCCAAGUUAAUCGGCACGGACAUUUACAGCACGCUUCUAAAAAUCAACUAAAUGAGAAAACAACAAAAUGAUUACACAGCUGGCAUUAUCCCGAACUGUUUGCAAAGUCAUCACAUUAAAAUUGCAUCAACAUGGUCAUCAAAACACCACAAACGAGCACCAAACAAAAUCUACUCAAAAUCAUAACUCCCAUUAAAAAAGAACUACCAGAACACGUUCUUCCAGCGACCAACAACCACCUGAACACCAAACAAUUCAGGCACUACACGCAUUCAACAAAGGAAAUGCUGUAUUUAAAGGCAAAGCAUACCUUCUACGAAUACGCACAGCAGCGCCCCCUGUUGACUUGGCUAUUUAAUGAUCACCGUCCCGGUGAGCAACCUAAGGGCAAAAAACAAAACACUACUGCCAAGGUCUAAAAGGGGUAAUAAGGGAGCUAACCUCUGCCAUACUAAUGGAGACAUUCAUAAUGCUAAAAUGUGCUCAACGGACAGCAACAGCACCCUCAGUUGAAACGGAAUAAUAGCAAUAGACAAAUUUGACAAACACUUCAGUGCGUAUUUGUGUUUGCUCUCUGGAGCAUCAAAGGUUUCUUUGCAGCCUGUUUUUGUGGUGCUGAGCAAUAUAGGCGAUCAUAAACAUGUCUGUUGAUCUCUUGAACGCAAUGGCCAAUCAGAGAUGUUUAAGUUAGGCAAAAUCCAGUCCGUUCAAAAUGCUAGUGUUUAUUUUUUUCAGUGCUGAGUUCUGCACGGGCAAUUAAUCCUCUUACUAUAAGUGUUGACACAAUGUAAAUAAUAAAUCUAUUGUUUGUAAUGUAAGUUUUAACGUAAAUGUGCACCAUUUUUGAGAUUAAUCAUCUGCUACAGGAUUUUCUUUUUCUUUUUUUGGUAUAGCAAAAAAUAGACUACACUAUAAUAAAACAGUAGCUACAUCAGUGAGGCCAUCGUCAUCUUUUGCAUAUGCUGUUGCCUAUAUCUAUUUUAGUUUUCGCAGAACUGCAUGUGUCUGCAUGUGUUUAACUUUAGAACUAAAAGUGGUUGUUCAGGUCGUCAGCUCAAAGCAAAUGAUGUAAAUCAAUAGUACAAAACAAACAUAGACCAGUGCAUUAAAAGAGAUUGUGUGUGUGUGUGUGUGUGUUUAUAUAUAUAUAUAUAAUAUAUAUAUAUACUAUGAUAGCUAUAAUAGAGUAUAAAAUGUGGUCGAAUUAUAGGAUGAACUGUAUACAUUUCAUGAUUUCUUGAUUUGUUCAUGAUCACAGGCAUUAUAAGGUAUCUGGAAGUGUGGAUUUCGGUUGUUCUAUUGCUGCUGAUGGCGGCUGUGGUUGUGUCAGCCAUAAUAUUGAGAAAUAAGCACAACAGAAAUAACACCCACAUCACAGAGGUGAACAGAGAUGGAGUCAGUGACGCAGGAAACGGUGUCAGUUCAUCAUCAGUGGUUGCAGAGAAUCACGUGACUUACAGCUCUGUGACAGUGCGACCUAAAACUAAAGCAAGCAGCCCAGUAUCUGUGGAGGACGAGGUGGUCUACAGCUCUCUGAACAAACAGUGAGAAGUUACAGGUUUGUUGAAGGUAAUAAUCACAUGAUGUUUUACACAGACACUGAACAUGUGAUUUCAUCUCAUUGUUUAAUCUCUUAAUCACAGGUUCAUGUUCCUGAGAAAAUAUGAACACAACAGCGCUGAACUUGAAACAAGCUAACAUUUUUUUAUUCCAUGUAUCAUUACAAAUGCAAAGCAAGCACAAUCUCAAUCCAGAAAAAAAAUACUAAUUGAUAAUAAAACAUAUGAAUUUAAUGAUCAUACCUUAUAAUUUACUGUCCCUAGUAGUAACAAAGUGUAAGUACAGUGCUUCCAUGUACAAAACAAGUGAUUUAGUCUGAAAAGAAGAUUCAGUUAAUUUCAGAGUAUUAUGAAGGGUGGAUUCUGGAAUUCACUGCCGCUUCAAUAUAUAUAUUUUGAGUGAUUUAUAAAUCAAGUUAUUAAUCAACAUUUAUCCUUCUAAAUAUUAAAUUAUUUGAAUGACUUCUUCAACGUAUUGUAUGUUAAAGCAUUUAUUUUCCUUUUAAUCUUCAACCACUAGAGAAUAAUGAUGAAUAUUGUCUGUACCUCUCACUGAGAGGAAAGUACAAAUUAUCAGUAUGUUUUGGAAUCUUUCCUGUUUAUAGUUUAAGCCUGGGCCAACUUCAACCUUGAAGAAGAUGUGAAUCAUGUGUAUCUUUGUAUGUGCUCUAAGUGUUCUGUACAGGUCCUUUAUGGGUGCGGGUGGACAACUGGCACUCUUCUCUGCAGAUGCCUUGUCAUGAUCUAGAAGGACAUCCUGUGCCUAAAUCCAGGGUUCAGGCAUCAGCAUCUUGAUGGAUGGAGAUAUGCUUCUGACUAUCUGUCCAUGUGUGGAUGAUUACUAAUUUUGUCUAUUUUUUUAUUAGCCAAUCAGAAUAAUUUUAGCUUAAGUAAUGACGUAGUUAGUAGACUCUGUUAGAGUAUAAUUGUUGUGGAAAUGUGAAUGUACGCACAGCGGCCUACGAACUCCUUGUGAGAAUUGAAGCUGGCUUCUGCUGAUGAAACUGCAAACUAUUCUUCAGUAAAAUUGUCUUUUUCUUUUUAACUCUGACUCUGGGUCUUUGUUCAUCAUAUCUGGUCUUUUGGGUCUUUAACUGUAAAAUUACCCUACAAUUAGCAUUAGUAAGGAAUCAGAUGUGUGUGUAAAUUGCUGAUCAUUAAAAGCAUAAAGCAUUCAUAAUAUAUUGCAAAGUUGUAAUGUCAAAAAUGUUGGUAAAUAAUAUUUACUUUUACGUUAUUUGAUAUUGUUUGAUACAUGGUAUGUAAAUAUUUAAGUGUACAUUAUCAAUUUAUUUUCAGACUUUUUUUGUAUAUUUUAAAAUGCAUUAAAAACAAAAAAAAACAACAAAAAAAAAAAAACAAAAAAAAAAAUUCAGGUCGGUGAAUAUGUUUCCAGCCUUCGCUCCACAGCGGUAUCCAUAUGUAAUAUAUAGGGCUUGUUACACUUGGCAUUAAUGUGACCUGUAUCCAGAUGUUGCCCACAUACACAUUGAAAAGACAAGUGUGAACGCAUUUGUGAUCGGUAAGCUAUCCGAUCUACAGUGGGUACGAAAAGUAUUCAGACCCCCUUAAAUUUUUCACUCUUUGUUAUAUUGCAGCCAUUUGCUAAAAUCAUUGAAGUUCAUUUUUUUUUUCCCUCUUUAAUGUACACACAGCACCCCAUAUUGAUAGAAAAACACAGAAUUGUUGACAUUUUUGCAGAUUUAUUAAAAAAGAAAAACUGAAAUAUCACAUGGUCCUAAGUAUUCAGACCCUUUGCUCAGUAUUUAGUAGAAGCACCCUUUUGAUCUAAUACAGCCAUGAGUCUUUUUGGGAAAGAUGCAACAAGUUUUUCACACCUGGAUUUGGGGAUCCUCUGCCAUUCCUCCUUGCAGAUCCUCUCCAGUUCUGUCAGG
Ctenopharyngodon idella (grass carp) is the source of this 5303-nucleotide long non-coding RNA. RefSeq lists it as uncharacterized. The record is from RefSeq and is a predicted model, not a curated record. Lineage: Eukaryota; Metazoa; Chordata; Actinopteri; Cypriniformes; Xenocyprididae. The transcript has 6 exons.